RNAcentral lists this ribosomal RNA (420 nucleotides) under Racesina siamensis. Its description in RNAcentral is "Cerasina siamensis partial 28S ribosomal RNA". The record is from RNAcentral. Lineage: Eukaryota; Metazoa; Mollusca; Gastropoda; Lymnaeidae.
GAAACCGCUCAGAGGUAAACGGGUGGAUCCGCAAAGUCGGCCCGUGGAAUUCAGCGCGUGCGGGAGGGUCCGGGACAAGGGGCCGGGGAUCUUCGGACCCCGCCCCAUGCUCUCGACCGGGCCCGACGCCGCGUGCACUUUCCGCGGGCAGAGCGCAACGACCGGUUUCGCGGCGGCGAUUAGCCCGUUGCGGACGCGUGGCACGAUCUCACGGGUCGUGCUACGGCCGCACGCGGUGAGCCCGCUUGUCGGGACCGAGGAACGACCGCGCGCUUCGUGGCUGCCUGUGGCCUCGCCGUGGGAGUUCGACUGGCAGGGACCGGGUCAACCCCGUGCCUGCCGACCGCUCUCCGGCGCCGGUUCGGGACAGCCGGGCGCGUCACGGGGUCGGUGGCGAGUCUGUCGGCAUUCCACCCGACC